This is a long non-coding RNA of Cyprinus carpio (common carp), 2252 nucleotides long. RefSeq lists it as uncharacterized. Lineage: Eukaryota; Metazoa; Chordata; Actinopteri; Cypriniformes; Cyprinidae. The record is from RefSeq and is a predicted model, not a curated record. The transcript is spliced from 3 exons.
UGUAUAUCCUGUACUUACUGCUUAUUGCACUUCUGGUUAGAUGCGGACUGCAUUUCGUUGCCUUGUACCUUACAUGUGCAAUGACAAUAAAGUUUAAUCUAAUCUAAUAAAAUAAAUGAGUAAAUCCCCUCUGAAACUUAAUAAAUUCAACCAUUGCACUUUACUUAAAAGACAUGUUAAGAGUCACAAACUGCACGGAGACAUGAAAGCUGAGGAGCCAAAUGCAAUAUUUAUUAAAGGGUAAUCAAAAGAUGUAAUCCAGAAACAAGCAAAAGGUCAUACAGAGGCAAUCAACCAAACAAUAACAACAUGGCAAAAAGCACAGGCAGGGAAUCAAAAACCAAGAAACAUGAAACAAGGAACUGUUCAGAACUGCAGGGUGACGUACAGCAAGACUUCACUGACAGUGGCUGCGUCCGAAAUGGCAUACUUCCCUACUAUAUAGUAUGGAAAAAGCAGUAGGUGAGCGAAUUGGUAUGUUUGAAUCCUCUGUGUUCAUAAAAGAGUAUGUUAGAAUUGCUCUAAUUCUCACGAGAUUCAGACGUACAUAUACUUAAUUUGCGUUCUAAUAUGCCUACUUACCUACUAUAUAGUAGGGAAAAAGAGUAUGUGAAGAAAGAGGUAUGUUCCAAAACCUCAGUAUUCAUGAAACAGUAGGCGAGAAAUCCCCGGAUGUCCUACUGCUUCAGCCCAGAUUCUGCAGUGUUCAUCGAUGGAUACUUUUCAAUCCCAUGAUGCCAUGCGAGAGGAUACGUCAUCAUCGAACGUAAAAGAGAGCAGCAACGAGGGUUUAUAAAGGUGAGUAUUAUAAACCAAAACAUGGUUCCUGUGUUAAAAUCAUAUUUGUUGAGCUACUGUAGAGGAAACUGUUGAUUUGUUAAGAUGUAAAGACGCCAGCCAGUAACGUGACAGUAUAUUUGUAACAAAAGUAAUAAUUCUAUAAAAACAAGUUUUAUUAUGUAUAGGAAACAGCGGAGCUCCAGUAAGCACAUGUACAUCUCCAAAGUAAAUUUACAUAAACCAUAUACAUCUUAAAGACGAUGAAAUGUCUAUUUAAUAUGAGACAGGAACAUGUUCUAAGAGCAUUGCAGAUGAGCAAAUCACAACAUGAACAGACAUCUGAGUGAGAGAUGUGUGUGCGCUAUUACUGUAUGUAGAAUUCACUGUCAACACUGCUUUAGAUGAAAGUAAUGUCAAUAAACAAAUCUACAUAAAGUAAACAUAAGUUUAUCAUCAUUUGACCAUUAGUACCCCUGAUAAAUUGAGGAACAUUUGUGUUGGAUAAAAAGUGAGUUAACACAUCUGCAACUAGCUCAACAUGUAAAUGCAGUAUAUCACAGAUAAAUGACAGAGGAGACUGACUCGUCUGGAUGUUACAGGGACACAUGAGACACACGUGUGUUUAUCUGCUGAAGAGAGACUGAUAAAGGAAUGCUUCCAUCAAAGACUCAAUGCAGAGCUUUUGUGGUGGAGCAGGUGACAGCGGCAUCUGUGGGGAAAAAAAGGAAAACCUGAAACCAAAAUAUAAAGGUCUGAAAUGUUCACAGACUGAUGUGUGCACUGAGGAUGGAGAAGUGCCAUGAAUGAAAUGCUCCAUCACUGCAUCUCCUCUUGUUUUCUCAUCAGGACCGCAUGUUGCUGUGGUCUCUUCAUCCUAAGUGACCCCAGAGCAGCGAGAGCAUCUAGAGAAAGACCAAAAGACAUUUAGGAUGUGAUUUUUGUCAAGUUUGUUCUGCUGGUUUCUGUUCAUACAACAUCAGUCAAUAAAAAUGAGUUUCAGAAGCUUCAAAAGCAUCAUCAAAUAAUGUCAUGAAGAAUCUGAAAGUCAGGCUCCAUUUAGGGAUGGCUGACACGAAACAGACGUUCCGAAGCAUUGUGAGAUCCCGAAGUGCAGAUGUUUUGAAACACUGAGCCGACUGAGUCACGUGACAACGGCCUCUAAGUGUUUCACAAGUGUUUCGACAGGUGGCAUGGUCCGCCGAAUCAGCGUUUGGGUACCCGGUCGGGUACAGACCACACAAUCGCACAUCUGUAUAAAAGUGAAGUCAACUCAUCUUGACCUCGUGGGUUUUUGUGAGAGGAGUUUGAUUUUGAGAUAACGGAUAUUUGGUGAUAUAGUGACAUUUAUAGUGCGAUUUGUUUAGUUAUAUUUAGGCUUACAUUUAAAUUUACACAUUCACUGAUAGGCUACAGACAGACAGAGUAUACAUAUAGUGACACAUUAAUAGAUGCAUAGAUAGAAAUAUAUAUAG